Molecule: ribosomal RNA, 468 nt
Filed under: uncultured bacterium
Lineage: Bacteria
Description: partial 16S ribosomal RNA
Rfam family: Bacterial small subunit ribosomal RNA
Source: RNAcentral
GAUGAACGCUGGCGGCGUGCUUAACACAUGCAAGUCGAACGGAAAGGCCCAAGCUUGCUUGGGUACUCGAGUGGCGAACGGGUGAGUAACACGUGGGUGAUCUGCCCUGCACUUCGGGAUAAGCCUGGGAAACUGGGUCUAAUACCGGAUAGGACGAUGGCUUGGAUGCCAUUGUGGAAAGUUUUUUCGGUGUGGGAUGAGCUCGCGGCCUAUCAGCUUGUUGGUGGGGUAAUGGCCUACCAAGGCGUCGACGGGUAGCCGGCCUGAGAGGGUGUACGGCCACAUUGGGACUGAGAUACGGCCCAGACUCCUACGGGAGGCAGCAGUGGGGAAUAUUGCACAAUGGGCGCAAGCCUGAUGCAGCGACGCCGCGUGGGGGAUGACGGCCUUCGGGUUGUAAACUCCUUUCGCUAGGGACGAAGCGUUUUUGUGACGGUACCUGGAGAAGAAGCACCGGCUAACUACGUG